This 466-nucleotide ribosomal RNA is filed under the name uncultured bacterium. Its description in RNAcentral is "partial 16S ribosomal RNA". It matches the Rfam family "Bacterial small subunit ribosomal RNA", at positions 28 to 507 of the family's 1533-position model. The record is from RNAcentral.
GAUGAACGCUGGCGGCGUGCUUAACACAUGCAAGUCGAACGAUGAAGCCCAGCUUGCUGGGUGGAUUAGUGGCGAACGGGUGAGUAACACGUGAGUAACCUGCCCUUAACUCUGGGAUAAGCCUGGGAAACUGGGUCUAAUACCGGAUAGGAGCGUCCACCGCAUGGUGGGUGUUGGAAAGAUUUAUCGGUUUUGGAUGGACUCGCGGCCUAUCAGCUUGUUGGUGAGGUAAUGGCUCACCAAGGCGACGACGGGUAGCCGGCCUGAGAGGGUGACCGGCCACACUGGGACUGAGACACGGCCCAGACUCCUACGGGAGGCAGCAGUGGGGAAUAUUGUACAAUGGGCGCAAGCCUGAUGCAGCGACGCCGCGUGAGGGAUGACGGCCUUCGGGUUGUAAACCUCUUUCAGUAGGGAAGAAGCGAAAGUGACGGUACCUGCAGAAGAAGCACCGGCUAACUACGUG